AGUCGACGAAAAUACCGAAUAGUUUACUGUGAGGUAUUUGAGUGGCNNNCGGGUGAGUAACACGUGGGCAACCUGCCUCAAAGAGGGGGAUAACACCGAGAAAUCGGUGCUAAUACCGCAUAACAUACAGAUACCGCAUGGUGACUGUAUCAAAGGAGCAAUCCGCUUUGAGAUGGGCCCGCGGCUGAUUAGCUAGUUGGUAAGGUAAAGGCUUACCAAGGCGACGAUCAGUAGCCGACCUGAGAGGGUGACCGGCCACACUGGAACUGAGACACGGUCCAGACUCCUACGGGAGGCAGCAGUGGGGAAUAUUGCGCAAUGGGGGAAACCCUGACGCAGCAACGCCGCGUGGAGGAAGAAGGUCUUCGGAUUGUAAACUCCUGUCUUCUGGGACGAUAAUGACGGUACCAGAGGAGGAAGCCACGGCUAACUACGUGCCAGCAGCCGCGGUAAUACGUAGGUGGCGAGCGUUGUCCGGAAUUACUGGGCGUAAAGGGCGCGUAGGCGGUUCUUUAAGUUAGAUGUGAAAACCCGAGGCUUAACUUCGGGACUGCAUUUAAAACUGAAGGGCUUGAGUGCAGGAGAGGUAAGUGGAAUUCCUAGUGUAGCGGUGAAAUGCGUAGAUAUUAGGAGGAACACCAGUGGCGAAGGCGACUUACUGGACUGUAACUGACGCUGAGGCGCGAAAGCGUGGGGAGCAAACAGGAUUAGAUACCCUGGUAGUCCACGCUGUNNACGAUGGAUACUAGGUGUGGGAGGUAUC
RNAcentral lists this ribosomal RNA (763 nucleotides) under uncultured bacterium. Its description in RNAcentral is "bacterial SSU rRNA". It matches the Rfam family "Bacterial small subunit ribosomal RNA", at positions 60 to 833 of the family's 1533-position model. The record is from RNAcentral.